UUGAUAGUACCUACUACUGGAUACCGUGGUAAUCUAGAGCUAAUACAUGCUAAAAACCCCGACUUCGGGAGGGGUGUAUUUAUUAGAUAAAAACCCAAUGCCCUUCGGGGCUCCUUUGGUGAUUCAUGAUAACUUCUCAGAUCGCAUGGCUUUACGCCGGCGACGGUUCAUUCAAAUUUCUGCCCUAUCAACUUUCGAUGGUAAGGUAGUGGCUUACCAUGGUUUCAACGGGUAACGGGGAAUUAGGGUUCGAUUCCGGAGAGGGAGCCUGAGAAACGGCUACCACAUCCAAGGAAGGCAGCAGGCGCGCAAAUUACCCAAUUCCGAUACGGAGAGGUAGUGACAAUAAAUACUGAUACAGGGCUCUUUAGGGUCUUGUAAUUGGAAUGAGUACAAUUUAAACCUCUUAACGAGGAACAAUUGGAGGGCAAGUCUGGUGCCAGCAGCCGCGGUAAUUCCAGCUCCAAUAGCGUAUAUUAAAGUUGUUGCAGUUAAAAAGCUCGUAGUUGAACCUUUGGCCUGGCUGGCAGGUCCGCCUCACCGCGUGCACUUGUCCGGCCGGGCCUUUUCUUCUGGAGAACCGCAUGCCCUUCACUGGGUGUGUUGGGGACCAGGACUUUUACUUUGAAAAAAUUAGAGUGUUCAAAGCAGGCCUUUGCUCGAAUACGUUAGCAUGGAAUAAUAGAAUAGGACGUGCGGUCCUAUUUUGUUGGUUUCUAGGACCGCCGUAAUGAUUAAUAGGGACAGUCGGGGGCAUCAGUAUUCAAUUGUCAGAGGUGAAAUUCUUGGAUUUAUUGAAGACUAACUACUGCGAAAGCAUUUGCCAAGGAUGUUUUCAUUAAUCAGUGAACGAAAGUUAGGGGAUCGAAGACGAUCAGAUACCGUCGUAGUCUUAACCAUAAACUAUGCCGACUAGGGAUCGG
RNAcentral lists this ribosomal RNA (923 nucleotides) under Pseudopithomyces entadae. RNAcentral's name for it is "SSU rRNA". It matches the Rfam family "Eukaryotic small subunit ribosomal RNA", at positions 121 to 1056 of the family's 1831-position model. Lineage: Eukaryota; Fungi; Ascomycota; Dothideomycetes; Pleosporales; Didymosphaeriaceae. The record is from RNAcentral.